CAGCAGCCGCGGGAAAACGGAGGGGGCUAGCGUUGUUCGGAAUUACUGGGCGUAAAGCGCACGUAGGCGGCUUGGUAAGUUAGAGGUGAAAGCCCGGAGCUCAACUCCGGAACUGCCUUUGAUACUGGGUGUCUUGAGUGUGGAAGAGGUCAGUGGAAUUGCGAGUGUAGAGGUGAAAUUCGUAGAUAUUCGCAGGAACACCGAUUGCGAAGGCAGCUUACCAAGGCAAAAUUGACGCUGAGGCACGAAAGCGUGGGGAUCGAACAGGAUUAGAUACCCCAGUAGUCCCUGUCUCUUAUAC
RNAcentral lists this ribosomal RNA (301 nucleotides) under uncultured bacterium. Its description in RNAcentral is "partial 16S ribosomal RNA". It matches the Rfam family "Bacterial small subunit ribosomal RNA", at positions 509 to 807 of the family's 1533-position model. The record is from RNAcentral.